CUGACCAACCGAAAAAACUCCUAUAGCAAAAAUGAUAGAAGGAACCAGAAGUUUAAGGAAGCUAAGCGGUUCUUCAGUAAAUCCUCAGUUACCUCAGCAGCUGCAUUAAGUGCAUUGGCAGGAGUUCAGGACUAGCUCAUUUAAAAGAGGGAGCCAGCAGUAGGUAUUGGAAAUCUAUCUCCAGACUUCCACAAUCAGGAAAAUGAGCCCAGCCAGGAGGACCCUGAGGAUCUGGGUGGAUCUGUGCAGGGAAUGAAACCUCAGAAGGCUGCUUCCUCUACUUCCUCAGGGAGUCACCACAGCAGCCAUAAAAAGUGAAAGAAUAAA
RNAcentral lists this long non-coding RNA (327 nucleotides) under Homo sapiens (human). RNAcentral describes it as "non-protein coding lnc-MAP2-3:1". The record is from RNAcentral. Lineage: Eukaryota; Metazoa; Chordata; Mammalia; Primates; Hominidae.